This 128-nucleotide long non-coding RNA is filed under the name Cyanistes caeruleus (blue tit). RNAcentral describes it as "lncRNA (ENSCCEG00000011933.1)". Lineage: Eukaryota; Metazoa; Chordata; Aves; Passeriformes; Paridae. The record is from RNAcentral.
CUGGAAUAACAUGGCCCAGAAGAAGAAAUACCCAAAUGUUUGUUCCCAUUUAUUCUUCCUCUGCAGGCAAAUGUAUUAAUAAGGCAGAAAUGAACACAGUGACUGAACCUACAGAUGGUCUGACUUGA